Molecule: ribosomal RNA, 398 nt
Filed under: uncultured bacterium
Lineage: Bacteria
Description: partial 16S ribosomal RNA
Rfam family: Bacterial small subunit ribosomal RNA
Source: RNAcentral
AUACGUAGGGUGCGAGCGUUGUCCGGAAUUACUGGGCGUAAAGAGCUCGUAGGUGGUUUGUCGCGUCGUCUGUGAAAUUCCGGGGCUUAACUUCGGGCGUGCAGGCGAUACGGGCAUAACUUGUGUACUGUAGGGGAGACUGGAAUUCCUGGUGUAGCGGUGAAAUGCGCAGAUAUCAGGAGGAACACCGGUGGCGAAGGCGGGUCUCUGGGCAGUAACUGACGCUGAGGAGCGAAAGCAUGGGUAGCGAACAGGAUUAGAUACCCUGGUAGUCCAUGCCGUAAACGGUGGGCGCUAGGUGUAGGGGUCUUCCACGACUUCUGUGCCGUAGCUAACGCAUUAAGCGCCCCGCCUGGGGAGUACGGCCGCAAGGCUAAAACUCAAAGGAAUUGACGGGG